GAUGAACGCUGGCGGCGUGCCUAAUACAUGCAAGUCGAGCGAACGGACGAGGAGCUUGCUCCUCUGACGUUAGCGGCGGACGGGUGAGUAACACGUGGAUAACCUACCUAUAAGACUAGGAUAACUUCGGGAAACCGGAGCUAAUACCGGAUAAUAUAUUGAACCGCAUGGUUCAAAAGUGAAAGACGGUUUUGCUGUCACUUAUAGAUGGAUCCGCGCCGCAUUAGCUAGUUGGUAAGGUAACGGCUUACCAAGGCAACGAUGCGUAGCCGACCUGAGAGGGUGAUCGGCCACACUGGAACUGAGACACGGUCCAGACUCCUACGGGAGGCAGCAGUAGGGAAUCUUCCGCAAUGGGCGAAAGCCUGACGGAGCAACGCCGCGUGAGUGAUGAAGGUCUUCGGAUCGUAAAACUCUGUUAUUAGGGAAGAACAAAUGUGUAAGUAACUAUGCACGUCUUGACGGUACCUAAUCAGAAAGCCACGGCUAACUACGUG
RNAcentral lists this ribosomal RNA (497 nucleotides) under uncultured bacterium. RNAcentral describes it as "partial 16S ribosomal RNA". It matches the Rfam family "Bacterial small subunit ribosomal RNA", at positions 28 to 507 of the family's 1533-position model. The record is from RNAcentral.